Ictidomys tridecemlineatus (thirteen-lined ground squirrel) is the source of this 1849-nucleotide long non-coding RNA. RefSeq lists it as uncharacterized. The record is from RefSeq and is a predicted model, not a curated record. NCBI's taxonomy places the organism in Eukaryota, Metazoa, Chordata, Mammalia, Rodentia, Sciuridae.
AGUCGAGAUAAUUUAGAGGAUCAGCCUGAGGGAGGGGAAGAGAUCAGAGGGGACUAGCUGGGACAUCCAACCUUCACCUGGGCCAAAUGUAAAGAAUGAAUGUGUGGUGUGCCCAUUCCUUCUGAAAGUCUCUGUUGUAAUCGAUUCCCUCCUCUUUUCCAGAGCAUAACAAGUGGCAAUUCUCAGAAAGGUACUGUAACUACCACACGUUGGGCUCUCUAACUUCCUUCCUCAUUUUCCUCUUCACUCACAUUUGCCAUAUUUCUUUUUUGUCCCCCCCAGCCCUGCUUCAGGCCCCAGACUAAUCCUGCCCCAAAUCAGUGAAGGUGGCUGGCAUUGGUUUGAAGAGCUUACAGAAAUCUCUUGUGGCUAGUCAGCUUGGAGUUCUGUUUGGAAACCACAGGCCCUAACCAUAGCUGUCAGACUUCAGACACCAGGUGCUGCCCAUUUGUCACUUAGCACUGCUAGGUACUGUGCUUCUGUGGCUGUCUCCUCCACUCACUCUGUGUUGCAGCUGUCUCAUAAGGGCCUGCCUUCCCUGACAUCACUAAAGAGACCAUCUAUAUUCCAGGGACAAACCCAUCCCUGUCUGCCACACUCCCAUUGAAGAUAAAAAUAACAUUAACAACAAAAAAAUAUUUAAUUUACUAUUAUUCAUUUAACCAUUGGACUUUCCAUUCCUGGACAUGGCACAAGGCACACUAUAGCUUAUUCCUUAAAAAGAUCUGAUGAUAACUGUAAACAAAUAUAUUGGGCAUAUUAUCAUUGGCAUAAAAACUAAUAUCCAGUCUACCCAGUACAAGCUUAGGAGAGAGGGAAAAGCAGAACACCUUCCUUUGUUACCACUCCUGUUCCAGGUCCAGGAACAGUACUAAAGCCACAAGGAAGGAGGUUGGCAGAAACCAAGGCAUUGUCAUAAGAAAGUUUUAAGUAGAGACCCUAACUUUAUCCUUUGGCAGAAUCUCUUCCUGUGCAGAAUCUGGCCCAUUUGUAUAGUGUUCUUGUCCUUCCUGAGUCUGAUCUGUAUCUGUUUUAUGUUUUCCAGCCACCAGAGGAUUAAAGUAAAUUUGGAAGAAUUCUAAAUAAUUUCCCUCCACCCCCCACGUUAGCUUCAUGUUAAUAUGAACCUAUGAUGUUGAAAAGAAGUUUUUUUUUUUUAUUAUCUGAGGACAGCAGUCAUCCAUACUCUCUUACCACUGACUACCUGUGAAUUAAUUAUCAUCAAAUAUUCAUCUGCCCAGGGGUUCCAUUUCCCACCACUCUGACAUUCUCUGGACUCCAAAGCUCAUGCCUGGUGGCCACAGACUCAAUGAUGACCCUCAAUGAUCCCUGCUUCUUGAUGUUCACACUUUGAGUGUGGACAAGUCUAAUGACCUGCUUCUAACCAACAUUAUGAUGUUAAUUAUUCAUACUGCAUGAUUGAAGAUUUUGGAGUCAGAGAUUCACCUGCAAUAUUUGGAAUACCAGUGGAGGUCUACAUCAACACAGAAUUUAUACAGCAGCUGGUGCUAGUCAAAGCUAAUGAUGGAAUUUCAGUUUAAUAAAAAGACCCCCAACUGAGCACACCAUCUUGAAAAAAGUAUACUUAUCAAACAGCUUUCAAUCAGUUCAAGAGAGACACCUUAAUUGGGAAGAGGAAGAAUUGCAGAGCAGUUUGUCAUCGUGCCAAUUCCAGAUCAAUAACUGCAAGUCUGUUCUUUGAUAGACAUAGCUUUUGCUUUAUAUUAAGUAACCACGUCUACAUCCUCUCCAUUUGGAUAAGGAGAUUUUUGUUUCAUUUUAUAAUGUGUAAUGAUAUCCUCUUUUAAUUUACCUCUGUGGCAUCACAAUAAACAUGAUCAAAAUUUAA